GUCUGGGCGGUGACGUUUGGUCUGAGCUGACCUUUCCUCACAAUCGUGAAUUUGGGCUGUGAGGAUCAGGCCUUGUCAGAACCCGAGAUGAGAGGAGAGAGGUGGGUCCUGAAUACCAUCCCAAGUGUCCUUAUAAGAGAGAGGCAAAAGAGGCAAUAGAGACACAGAAAAGAAAGCCAUGUGAAGAUGGAGCAGAGAGAUAUAUGGCCACAAGCCAAGGAAUGCUGACAGCUGCCAGAAGCUGGAAGAAGGCAAGGAAUGGACUCUCCCCUACAGCCUCCAGAGGCAAUGCAGCCCUGCCAACACUUUGAUUUUAGACUUCUGGCCUAUAGAACUGAGAAAGAAUAAAUUUCUGUUCUUUUCAGCUACUAAGUUUGUGAUCACUUGGUGCAGCAUUUACAGGAAACAAAUACACCUCUCCUUCUAGAACUCCAAUUAUGUGAACAUUAGACCAUCUAAUAUUGCCCCACAUGUUCCUGAGGCUCUCUGUUCAUUUUCUUUUUAAUCUAUUUUUCUCUGUUCUUCAGAUUGGACAAUUGCUCUCUUUUUUGUUUGUUUGUUUUUUUGAGAUGGAGUUUCGCUCUUGUCGCCCAGGUUGGAGUGCAACGGCGCAAUCUUGGCUCAUUGCAACCUCCGCCUCCCGGGUUCAAGUGAUUCUCCUGCCUCAGCCUCCUGAGUAGCUGGUAUUACAGGCACCCACCACCAUGCCCAGCUAAUUUUUGUAUUUUUAGUAGAGACAGGGUUUCUUUUUUUUUUUUUUUUGGCAGUUUUUACUUUUAUUUAAACAGAAAACAUGCACACGAGCUGUCUACUCAUUUUCUUUGCUGCGCAGCCUGGCAUUGGGGUUGGUGACUUUGAUGGCCAGUUGGGCAGCUCUUUCCACGAUGGCUUUGCGGUUCUUGGAGGAAACAUGGUGAGUGAUCUCGGCACAGUAAGAUUUGUUGCACAUCAGCAGCACUUCCAGCUCCUUGACGUUGUGGACCAGGAACUUCCGGAAGCCACUGGGCAACAUGUGCUUUGUUUUUAUUUUUAUAUUUUUGCAACGGAGUCUUACUUUGUG
RNAcentral lists this long non-coding RNA (1060 nucleotides) under Homo sapiens (human). RNAcentral's name for it is "non-protein coding lnc-RPS6KB1-1:7". The record is from RNAcentral. Lineage: Eukaryota; Metazoa; Chordata; Mammalia; Primates; Hominidae.